This 230-nucleotide long non-coding RNA is filed under the name Elaeis guineensis (African oil palm). RNAcentral describes it as "long non-coding RNA (EGUI_LNC010783)". Lineage: Eukaryota; Viridiplantae; Streptophyta; Magnoliopsida; Arecales; Arecaceae. The record is from RNAcentral.
CGGGCAACCAUAGCUGAGUCUACAUGCUAAUAGAAACAUGUACCCACACAACAGAAGUGCCGUCUUGGUUUGCUUUUCCCAGGCAUAGUUUUAAUUAACCAGACAGUGACCGAGGAAUGAUGCCUAAAUUCGAGUUUCGGGUCUUUUUUUUUUUUAAAUUCUUGAUAGUAUUCGGGACGCUAAGCGCCACUCAAAUUUGAUUAAAACAGAAGAAAGUAUUUACGGAGGCA